UCCUACGGGAGGCAGCAGUGAGGAAUUUUGCGCAAUGGCCGCAAGGCUGACGCAGCAACGCCGCGUGGGUGAAGAAGGCCUUCGGGUCGUAAAGCCCUGUCAGGUGGGAAGAAACCCACGGGGGUGAAUAGUCCCCGUGCUUGACGGUACCACCAGAGGAAGCACCGGCUAAUUCCGUGCCAGCAGCCGCGGUAAUACGGAGGGUGCGAGCGUUAUUCGGAAUUACUGGGCGUAAAGCGCGUGCAGGCGGUCUGGCAAGUCUGAUGUGAAAGCCCCGGGCUUAACCUGGGAAGAGCAUUGGAAACGGUCGGACUUGAGUACUGGAGAGGAAGGGAGAAUUCCCGGUGUAGAGGUGAAAUUCGUAGAGAUCGGGAGGAACACCAGUGGCGAAGGCGCCCUUCUGGACAGCUACUGACGCUGAGACGCGAAAGCGUGGGGAGCAAACAGGAUUAGAUACCCGUGUAA
Molecule: ribosomal RNA, 465 nt
Filed under: uncultured bacterium
Lineage: Bacteria
Description: bacterial SSU rRNA
Rfam family: Bacterial small subunit ribosomal RNA
Source: RNAcentral